Molecule: ribosomal RNA, 931 nt
Filed under: Proteus mirabilis
Lineage: Bacteria; Pseudomonadati; Pseudomonadota; Gammaproteobacteria; Enterobacterales; Morganellaceae
Description: partial 23S ribosomal RNA
Rfam family: Bacterial large subunit ribosomal RNA
Source: RNAcentral
AGGUUAACCGUAUAGGGGAGCCGUAGGGAAACCGAGUCUUAACUGGGCGAAUGAGUUGCAGGGUAUAGACCCGAAACCCGGUGAUCUAUCCAUGGGCAGGUUGAAGGUUGGGUAACACUAACUGGAGGACCGAACCGACUAAUGUUGAAAAAUUAGCGGAUGACUUGUGGAUGGGGGUGAAAGGCCAAUCAAACCGGGAGAUAGCUGGUUCUCCCCGAAAGCUAUUUAGGUAGCGCCUCGUGAACUCAUCUUCGGGGGUAGAGCACUGUUUCGACUAGGGGGUCAUCCCGACUUACCAACUCGAUGCAAACUGCGAAUACCGAAGAAUGUUAUCACGGGAGACACACGGCGGGUGCUAACGUCCGUCGUGAAGAGGGAAACAACCCAGACCGCCAGCUAAGGUCCCAAAGUCAUGGUUAAGUGGGAAACGAAGUGGGAAGGCUCAGACAGCCAGGAUGUUGGCUUAGAAGCAGCCAUCAUUUAAAGAAAGCGUAAUAGCUCACUGGUCGAGUCGGCCCGCGCGGAAGAUGUAACGGGGCUAAACCAUGCACCGAAGCUGCGGCAGCGACACAAAGUGUUGUUGGGUAGGGGAGCGUUCUGUAAGCCUGCGAAGGUGUACUGUGAGGUAUGCUGGAGGUAUCAGAAGUGCGAAUGCUGACAUAAGUAACGAUAAUGCGGGUGAAAAACCCGCACGCCGGAAGACCAAGGGUUCCUGUCCAACGUUAAUCGGGGCAGGGUGAGUCGACCCCUAAGGCGAGGCUGAAAAGCGUAGUCGAUGGGAAACGGGUUAAUAUUCCCGUACUGGUGGUAACUGCGAUGGGGGAACGGAGAAGGCUAGGUUGUCCGGGCGACGGUCGUCCCGGUUCAAGCAGGUAGGCAGAGUGAUUAGGCAAAUCCGGUCACUUAAUGCUGAGAUGUGAUGACGAACCAC